RNAcentral lists this ribosomal RNA (365 nucleotides) under uncultured bacterium. RNAcentral's name for it is "bacterial SSU rRNA". It matches the Rfam family "Bacterial small subunit ribosomal RNA", at positions 29 to 419 of the family's 1533-position model. The record is from RNAcentral.
AACGAACGCUGGCGGCAGGCUUAACACAUGCAAGUCGAACGGGCGUAGCAAUACGUCAGUGGCGGACGGGUGAGUAACACGUGGGAAUAUGCCUUUCGGUUCGGAACAACUCGGGGAAACCCGUGCUAAUUCCGGAUACGCCCUUACGGGGAAAGAUUUAUCGCCGAGGGAUCGGCCCGCGUCUGAUUAGCUUGUUGGUGAGGUAACGGCUCACCAAGGCGACGAUCAGUAGCUGGUCUGAGAGGAUGAUCAGCCACAUUGGGACUGAGACACGGCCCAAACUCCUACGGGAGGCAGCAGUGGGGAAUAUUGGACAAUGGGCGCAAGCCUGAUCCAGCCAUGCCGCGUGAGUGAUGAAGGCCCUA